Molecule: transfer RNA, 64 nt
Filed under: Stylotermes sp. Chi-131
Lineage: Eukaryota; Metazoa; Arthropoda; Insecta; Blattodea; Stylotermitidae
Description: tRNA-Asp
Source: RNAcentral
AAAGGAUUAGUUAAAACAUAACAUCAGAAUGUCAAAUUGAAAUAGCUUAACAAAGCAUCCUUUU